This 1441-nucleotide ribosomal RNA is filed under the name Staphylococcus saprophyticus. Its description in RNAcentral is "bacterial SSU rRNA". It matches the Rfam family "Bacterial small subunit ribosomal RNA". Lineage: Bacteria; Bacillati; Bacillota; Bacilli; Caryophanales; Staphylococcaceae. The record is from RNAcentral.
GGCGGCGUGCCUAAUACAUGCAAGUCGAGCGAACAGAUAAGGAGCUUGCUCCUUUGACGUUAGCGGCGGACGGGUGAGUAACACGUGGGUAACCUACCUAUAAGACUGGGAUAACUUCGGGAAACCGGAGCUAAUACCGGAUAACAUUUGGAACCGCAUGGUUCUAAAGUGAAAGAUGGUUUUGCUAUCACUUAUAGAUGGACCCGCGCCGUAUUAGCUAGUUGGUAAGGUAACGGCUUACCAAGGCGACGAUACGUAGCCGACCUGAGAGGGUGAUCGGCCACACUGGAACUGAGACACGGUCCAGACUCCUACGGGAGGCAGCAGUAGGGAAUCUUCCGCAAUGGGCGAAAGCCUGACGGAGCAACGCCGCGUGAGUGAUGAAGGGUUUCGGCUCGUAAAACUCUGUUAUUAGGGAAGAACAAACGUGUAAGUAACUGUGCACGUCUUGACGGUACCUAAUCAGAAAGCCACGGCUAACUACGUGCCAGCAGCCGCGGUAAUACGUAGGUGGCAAGCGUUAUCCGGAAUUAUUGGGCGUAAAGCGCGCGUAGGCGGUUUCUUAAGUCUGAUGUGAAAGCCCACGGCUCAACCGUGGAGGGUCAUUGGAAACUGGGAAACUUGAGUGCAGAAGAGGAAAGUGGAAUUCCAUGUGUAGCGGUGAAAUGCGCAGAGAUAUGGAGGAACACCAGUGGCGAAGGCGACUUUCUGGUCUGUAACUGACGCUGAUGUGCGAAAGCGUGGGGAUCAAACAGGAUUAGAUACCCUGGUAGUCCACGCCGUAAACGAUGAGUGCUAAGUGUUAGGGGGUUUCCGCCCCUUAGUGCUGCAGCUAACGCAUUAAGCACUCCGCCUGGGGAGUACGACCGCAAGGUUGAAACUCAAAGGAAUUGACGGGGACCCGCACAAGCGGUGGAGCAUGUGGUUUAAUUCGAAGCAACGCGAAGAACCUUACCAAAUCUUGACAUCCUUUGAAAACUCUAGAGAUAGAGCCUUCCCCUUCGGGGGACAAAGUGACAGGUGGUGCAUGGUUGUCGUCAGCUCGUGUCGUGAGAUGUUGGGUUAAGUCCCGCAACGAGCGCAACCCUUAAGCUUAGUUGCCAUCAUUAAGUUGGGCACUCUAGGUUGACUGCCGGUGACAAACCGGAGGAAGGUGGGGAUGACGUCAAAUCAUCAUGCCCCUUAUGAUUUGGGCUACACACGUGCUACAAUGGACAAUACAAAGGGCAGCUAAACCGCGAGGUCAUGCAAAUCCCAUAAAGUUGUUCUCAGUUCGGAUUGUAGUCUGCAACUCGACUACAUGAAGCUGGAAUCGCUAGUAAUCGUAGAUCAGCAUGCUACGGUGAAUACGUUCCCGGGUCUUGUACACACCGCCCGUCACACCACGAGAGUUUGUAACACCCGAAGCCGGUGGAGUAACCAUUUAUGGAGCUAGCCGUCG